This 229-nucleotide ribosomal RNA is filed under the name uncultured bacterium. Its description in RNAcentral is "partial 16S ribosomal RNA". It matches the Rfam family "Bacterial small subunit ribosomal RNA", at positions 28 to 258 of the family's 1533-position model. The record is from RNAcentral.
GACGAACGCUGGCGGCGUGCUUAACACAUGCAAGUCGAGCGGUAAGGCCCUUUCGGAGGUACACGAGCGGCGAACGGGUGAGUAACACGUGGGUGACCUGCCCUCAGCUCUGGGAUAAGCCUGGGAAACCGGGUCUAAUACUGGAUAUGACUCCAUGACGCAUGUUGUGGGGUGGAAAGCCUUGUGCGGCUGAGGAUGGGCCCGCGGCCUAUCAGCUUGUUGGUGGGGG